RNAcentral lists this ribosomal RNA (256 nucleotides) under uncultured bacterium. RNAcentral describes it as "partial 16S ribosomal RNA". It matches the Rfam family "Bacterial small subunit ribosomal RNA", at positions 524 to 776 of the family's 1533-position model. The record is from RNAcentral.
UACGGAGGGUGCGAGCGUUGUCCGGAAUCAUUGGGCGUAAAGGGCGCGUAGGUGGCCCGGUCAGUCUUUGGUGAAAGCGCGGGGCUCAACCCUGCGUCGGCCAGGGAUACUGCCGCGGCUCGAGCACUGUAGAGGCAGGCGGAAUUCCGGGUGUAGCGGUGGAAUGCGUAGAGAUCCGGAAGAACACCGGUGGCGAAGGCGGCCUGCUGGGGAGUUUGGCUGACACUGAGGCGCGACAGCGUGGGGAGCAAACAGG